AAUUACAGAAAAAACUGCUUGUGAACCUACCACUCUCCUGAAUUUUUUGGAACCUACUAAGCCUUGGGAGAGGGACUGGCAUCCAUUACAAGAGAAACUGCUUGAUUAUGUGCUGGACCGAAAUUGCCCUGGCAGUGAAAUAAUUGUGAAGGAGGGGCAAGUGUGCCUUAUUCGAGAAGAAUUUUGGAGCCUUGGAUUGUUGAGGGACAUGGACUCCCAUAUUGGAAACGCCUGCAUGAAG
Non-coding RNA from Danio rerio (zebrafish), 241 nucleotides. The record is from RefSeq and is a predicted model, not a curated record. NCBI's taxonomy places the organism in Eukaryota, Metazoa, Chordata, Actinopteri, Cypriniformes, Danionidae.